CUUGGUCAUUUAGAGGAAGUAAAAGUCGUAACAAGGUUUCCGUAGGUGAACCUGCGGAAGGAUCAUUAAAGAGACGUUGCCCUUCGGGGUAUACCUCCCACCCUUUGUUUAUUAUACCUUUGUUGCUUUGGCGGGCCCGUCCUCGGACCACCGGCUUCGGCUGGUCAGUGCCCGCCAGAGGACCUAAAACUCUGUUUGUUCAUAUUGUCUGAGUACUAUAUAAUAGUUAAAACUUUCAACAACGGAUCUCUUGGUUCUGGCAUCGAUGAAGAACGCAGCGAAAUGCGAUAAGUAAUGUGAAUUGCAGAAUUCAGUGAAUCAUCGAAUCUUUGAACGCACAUUGCGCCCCCUGGUAUUCCGGGGGGCAUGCCUGUUCGAGCGUCAUUACAACCCUCAAGCUCUGCUUGGUAUUGGGCUCUGCCGGUCCCGGCAGGCCUUAAAAUCAGUGGCGGUGCCAUUCGGCUUCAAGCGUAGUAAUUCUUCUCGCUUUGGAGACCCGGGUGCGUGCUUGCCAGCAACCCCCAAUUUUUUCAGGUUGACCUCGGAUCAGGUAGGGAUACCCGCUGAACUUAAGCAUAUCAAUAAGCGGAGGA
RNAcentral lists this ribosomal RNA (593 nucleotides) under Pseudeurotium bakeri. Its description in RNAcentral is "eukaryotic LSU rRNA". The stretch from base 231 to 384 matches the Rfam family "5.8S ribosomal RNA". Lineage: Eukaryota; Fungi; Ascomycota; Leotiomycetes; Thelebolales; Pseudeurotiaceae. RNAcentral also lists the same sequence under 1 other name. The record is from RNAcentral.